Molecule: ribosomal RNA, 1242 nt
Filed under: metagenome
Description: bacterial LSU rRNA
Rfam family: Bacterial large subunit ribosomal RNA
Source: RNAcentral
UGAAUACGAGACGCUAAGGCGUCGAAGUAGUGUAUGUCAUACUUCCAAGAAAAGCUUGCACUGUCAUAGAUAAAAAACGCCUGUACCAUAACCGACACAGGUGGGUAGGUAGAGUAUACUAAGGGGCGCGAGAUAACUCUCUCUAAGGAACUCGGCAAAAUAACUCCGUAACUUCGGGAGAAGGAGUGCCUUAUUUAUAAGGCUGCAAUAACAAGAUCCAAGCAACUGUUUAUCAAAAACACAGGUCUCCGCUAAGUCGUAAGACGAUGUAUGGGGGCUGACGCCUGCCCAGUGCCAGAAGGUUAAAGAAGUUGGUUAGCUUUUGCGAAGCUGAUAACUGAAGCCCUGGUGAACGGCGGCCGUAACGAUAACGGUCCUAAGGUAGCGAAAUUCCUUGUCGGGUAAGUUCCGACCCGCACGAAAGGCGUAAUGAUUUGGAUACUGUCUCGGAGAGGGGCUCGGUGAAAUAGACUUGUCUGUGAAGAUGCGGACUACCUGCACCAGGACAGAAAGACCCUAUGAAGCUUUACUGUAACUUGAAAUUGAAAUUGGACUUUAUUCGCGCAGCAUAGGUGGGAGGCGUUGAUUAUAAUCUCGUGGGAUUAUUGGAGCCAUCAGUGAGAUACCACUCUUGUAAUGUUAGAUUUCUAACUUUGAAUCAUUAUCUGGUCAAAGAACAGUUUCAGGCGGGCAGUUUGACUGGGGCGGUCGCCUCCUAAACGGUAACGGAGGCGUACAAAGGUUUCCUCUGAACGGUUAGAAAUCGUAUCUAGAGUGUAAAGGCAUAAGGAAGCUUGACUGUGAGACCUACAAGUCGAGCAGGGACGAAAGUCGGUCUUAGUGAUCUGACGGUACUGAGUGGAAAGGCCGUCACUCAACGGAUAAAAGUUACUCUAAGGAUAACAGGCUGAUCUCCCCCAAGAGUUCACAUCGACGGGGAGGUUUGGCACCUCGAUGUCGGCUCAUCGCAUCCUGGGGCGGUAGUACGUCCCAAGGGUUGGGCUGUUCGCCCAUGAAAGCGGUACGCGAGCUGGGUUCAGAACGUCGUGAGACAGUUCGGUCCAUAUCCGGCGUAGGCGUUAGAAUAUUGAGAGGAGCCUUCUUUAGUACGAGAGGACCGAGAAGGACAUACCUCUGGUGUACCAGUUAUCGUGCCAACGGUAAACGCUGGGUAGCUAUGUAUGGAGUGGAUAACCGCUGAAAGCAUCUAAGUGGGAAGCCCACCUCAAGAUAAGUAUUCCC